AGUGAACGCUGGCGGUAGGCCUAACACAUGCAAGUCGAACGGCAGCACAGGAGAGCUUGCUCUCUGGGUGGCGAGUGGCGGACGGGUGAGGAAUACAUCGGAAUCUACUCUGUCGUGGGGGAUAACGUAGGGAAACUUACGCUAAUACCGCAUACGACCUACGGGUGAAAGCAGGGGACCUUCGGGCCUUGCGCGAUUGAAUGAGCCGAUGUCGGAUUAGCUAGUUGGCGGGGUAAAGGCCCACCAAGGCGACGAUCCGUAGAUGGUCUGCGAGGAUAAUCAGCCACACUGGAGCUGAGACACGGUCCAGACUCCUACGGGAGGCAGCAGUGGGGAAUAUUGGACAAUGGGCGCAAGCCUGAUCCAGCCAUACCGCGUGGGUGAAGAAGGCCUUCGGGUUGUAAAGCCCUUUUGUUGGGAAAGAAAUCCAGCUGGCUAAUACCCGGUUGGGAUGACGGUGCCCAAAGAAUAAGCACCGGCUAACUUCGUGCCAGCCGCCGCGGUAA
This 506-nucleotide ribosomal RNA is filed under the name uncultured bacterium. RNAcentral describes it as "partial 16S ribosomal RNA". It matches the Rfam family "Bacterial small subunit ribosomal RNA", at positions 29 to 523 of the family's 1533-position model. The record is from RNAcentral.